This 253-nucleotide ribosomal RNA is filed under the name uncultured bacterium. Its description in RNAcentral is "partial 16S ribosomal RNA". It matches the Rfam family "Bacterial small subunit ribosomal RNA", at positions 524 to 776 of the family's 1533-position model. The record is from RNAcentral.
UACGAAGGGGGCGAGCGUUGUUCGGAUUUACUGGGCGUAAAGGGCGCGCAGGCGGCGAUCUUUGUCAGGCGUGAAAGCCCCGGGCUUAACCUGGGAAUGGCGCUUGAAACUACAGGACUGGAGUAUGGCAGAGGGAGGUGGAAUUCCACGUGUAGCGGUGAAAUGCGUAGAGAUGUGGAGGAACACCGAUGGCGGAGGCAGCCUCCUGGGCCAAUACUGACGCUCAUGCACGAAAGCGUGGGGAGCAAACAGG